CUGUUGGAUUCUGCAGGGACCUGAUCAGCUAUUGAGACCCCGCAACCUGAUUGAGGAGCCAACCUGAUCUACGUGCCUUGUGUUUGCUUGACUUGCUUUGGAAGCCGUCUGUGCUUUCCACUGGCGCACCCCAGACUAUCACCCUCCGUGCCAGGCAGGCAAACUAGCCGCCACGCUCCUGUCCCAGAAACUGCAUCGAUUCCUCGCGUGCAUCCUAACUGCAAAUUCUCCAUUAGGACUGCUCUCAUGAACGAGCAUUUGCAGAAUCAGACCCAUGUUAAGGCCUCUAUGCAUCUUUUUAUCAUCUUCUAGGGCACUUUACCUGAAUGCUCCUACCACAGGUACUUCUUCCACCCUGACUCCGAUGCUUUUCCAGGUGCCAAAAACCGGGGUCGGCCUGCUGGGUCACAGAGGUGGCUUCUGCCUGAGGAAGAGCCAUGCCUCACGGCUGACCCAAGUCGUGGAGGUGGUGCGGGUGGGCAGUGAGCACCUCAGACACUGGCAUAUCGGGACUGCUCAGUGCCACAAAGCAACGGGGGACGGUGGCAGCUGGAUUCACAUGCUGAUGCUGCGGCAUCGUUGGUUAAGGAGGCAGUGGAGCAUGUCCAGCGGAGGGAGGAAUCGGGCCUGUGGCACGGGGCGCAGUUACCUUCCCUGAUGUCAACUCCGGCUGGUUCUUUUUCCCUUUGUUUGCCCUCUUUUCUUCUUAAGCAAAUGUGGUGGCCAUAAAUCGUGAAGAUGCUGAUAGAUGUCUUAUCGCUCGCUGCAGGAGGCAUUCAUCCACCGGACCCGUGACCUCCCGCACUGCGUCAGCACUUGGCAGUAGGGGAAGGUCAUGCCUUGUUAUUCCUCAGCAAGUCGCAGAAGGGGUUUCUUUGUUGUGAGGCUCUGACUGCUGAGAGCCAUUCAGGACAGGCAAGUGUAGGCUCUGUAAAUGCCUCCAUCCAUCUCUCCUCCUCGCCUGCUCAUGGGGGAGCUUCAAACUGGCGCUUUCUCACACUAUCAAAACUCAUGCAUUUGUCCCGGUUGCCAGGACCUGCUCUAGCUGGCAAGGAGUGCUUCUUUCUAUACAAGCAUGGGCAUUUCCUUCCACAGACCGAAGCAAAAUGCCCUGGACCAGCUCCGUGCUCCUCAAAUACCCCAUAAUAUUCUGCCUUGGUGCUGGAUGCUCCUUCCUGAAGCUCACUGGGGUUUCUAUGUGAAGGGGGAGAUGUUAGCUGUUCCUCGCCGCCGUCUCGACAUGCUCAGAAUAAAGCAGAGAGGCCGUGGCACUCUUCAGCAGUGCUCUUGGGGACACGUUGCCCACUGAGGCAUGUGCAGACCCAAACUCCAGCCCGUCCUAGUGUUUUUUUUUUUCCCCUGGAUACUGAAAUGUGAAAAAAAGAAAAGCUUCACAAUGAAACUAAUUUAACCAUUGAAUCGGGGGGAGCAGUUUUCCCCCUGUUUCCUCCAACCAGCCCCACGGCCGUGUCUCAAACCAUCUGCAACAGGCGCUCCCAGACCCGGAAAGCAGAGCUGAACAGAGACUGGAGCACUGUCUCAGAUGUUUGCCUGACUACACUGGAAAGCUUUGUGUGGUUUUCCUUUUACCAGGGAUGCCUGGCGUAGCUUCAAGGUUUUAUGGGGUCCAGCUGCAAUUCAGGUUGAUGACAGCGAUGAUGAGGAGUCGGGGUUGUGGGUAUCUCAUGGUCAUUUAGAGAGAAGGUAUCCAAUAUCACUCAGGUAAAGGGUUAGCUGGUGAAUGGCUGUUUAUUAACAUGACGUUGAUGGGCAGCUUUGGGGGUGCAUAACUUGCCUCCAAGUCAGAGAGCUGCUGCUGAGUAAAUGCUAACGAUGGUAUUAGUAGUAUUAGUAUUGUAUUGCAACACUGCCGAGACGGCCCGUGCCAUAGACCAGGAUCAGCUGGGCAGAGCAUUUCUAGUAAUAACUCUGCGCGCUCUUUGCAGGUGCACGGCAGCUCAGAGUCGGGGAAGCACGCUGCGUUUCGCUCGAGGCUUCUCUGGAAUUGGGGCCUCUCUCCAAGGACACGUUUGAGUUGUACACUGCAUUGUGGACAAAACACACCCCACACCCGAUCCCACUGCUGCUACAGAAAUGGAGGUGAUGGGAGGUGGGCUUUGUGCUCUGCUCUGCUUCUUAGACCAGUGGUUCUCAACCAUUUUAGACUCAGGUCCCGCUCUGUCAUUUUUCUGAAUUUAGGAGCACCCUCAGUGGAUGCAGGGAGAGGAAGCACCUCUUUUUCCCUGUGCAAGGGAGAUGUGCCCCCUGCCUUUGCUUCGAUGCAUGAAGCACACGGGCACCCUUGUUCCCUGGGAAGCACUGGGCAGGGAUGGCCCUGUCUGUGGUGGUGUCGUGCCCAGUCCAGGCUCUCAAGCAGGCCAACAUCCACAGCCACAGAGCGACCCAUCCCAUCCGGUUGGGCUGCAGCAUCCUUCCUGCUGCGGCCACAUCCUAGUCCAACCCCACAUGGUAUUUCCUGGAAACAGGUGUGGUGGGGCAGUGCUACCUGGUGGCAGGGGGUUGUCACCCUUAAAUGGAUCUUCUGGCACCUGGUUGGGAAUUACUGCCGUCAGCCUUUGCAACUAGAACAGGUCAGACCACAGCAAAGCGAGUCCUCCGUGCUGCAUACCCACCUCAAGCCUCAUUUCAGCAAACCGAGCCAGCUUGGCACCUGCUAAAGCCUCAAUGGCUUUAUCAGUGGUUAAGAGUUUCAUAGUCGGCUUGGCCAAAUCAAGCCACUGACAUCUUGGGGUGUCUCUGCUCCCUCCUCCCCCACCACCUCCGCUCGAGAGCAAAAUAGACUUUUGUAAGAUCCAAAGUGAACCAAAAAACUGAGAAACCAUCGCAGAAGCAAUGGGGCUGGGACAGGGGUUGUGCAGAGGGGAACGUCAUACGCCAUCUGUGUGCUUGGUGAAAGAUGCAUUGAACUGGUUGGGGGCUGGAAGAUGUGAGUGGAAAGAGGAAUUAAUUAGAAAAAUGUUCAGCAGAAUCCCAGGGUGGGCGGCAAAAGCUGGGGAAAAUAAUAAAAGGCACUAAAUGUCCUGCAUCUAUAGUCACUUCCUCCUUUAAAUCAAUUUAAUUGGGGUUUCUCAGAGUCAUUGAUCAAAAUCUCUUCCAGACAGAGGCUGGUCCUGUUCUCCUCAUCGGCAACGAAAGGCUGGUAACAUUUUUAUUGACGUGCCUCCGCUGAGAGCAGCUGAUAGGGCUCUGCGAGAAUAAGGUACCCUCAGUGAUGGAUAAUCCAGCACCAGCCACAAGUUUUCUGCUCCGAGCGUUGUGGGCUCCCCUGGAUGGCUUCCUAUCUGGUUUUCAUUACAUGCUGAGAGCAUGCCACUUAAUUUGAAGCGACUUGAGCUCGGGGUUCGAGCUGAUGCCUUAUUCCUCUUCCUCCCAGCAACAGCGCUGCUUUUUUCAUGCUUUCUUCAUGGGAGGAAUCCCGUGGUGGGACUGCUCACGUGAGCAAAGGCUCUGAUAAGGAAAAGCUUCAUAUUCAGUCUGAAAGGCAGGUCCCACUGGGCUGAAGCAGAGGCAGUGAGGGUAAGGGUAAUACCUUUGACAAGGGAUCUUUAAUGCACACGUGGGGGUGCAAAUGUGUGCCCAGUGCCCCAGGCCACGCAGCAUGUAUCCACAUCCAUUGGUCAAAUGGUGAAGCGUCAGGUCUAGGCUGUAAGGUGAGAGGCAGAGGAGGGGACACGCGCGUGUGUGAAGUUUGCUCACCCUUGCGUGAACGGCCUUCCCUUGGGGGCAUCUAUUCAGAAAGUGCACUCCUGCAAGGCCUACCUUGCAUUUCAGGGGCCUGCAGCUUUGCGCACUUCGUAAAUCCUUUUGCUAAUUAUUUGCCGCAUUGUUUCUUCUUCUGUUAGCUCUGGAGACCUUUACAUAAAACAGAAAAUACCGAUCAGGCCAGUUUAAUUUGGGGCUGUGUCUGUUGUGCCGUGUUCCUCAGGCCCUGAGUGCGACGGAUGCCACAAUGACAGGCAACGUGCUGCUUGCUUUGCUAGCACCCAUCACCUGAAGG
Alligator sinensis (Chinese alligator) is the source of this 4018-nucleotide RNA transcript. RefSeq lists it as uncharacterized. The record is from RefSeq and is a predicted model, not a curated record. NCBI's taxonomy places the organism in Eukaryota, Metazoa, Chordata, Crocodylia, Alligatoridae. The transcript has 3 exons.